Molecule: ribosomal RNA, 497 nt
Filed under: uncultured bacterium
Lineage: Bacteria
Description: partial 16S ribosomal RNA
Rfam family: Bacterial small subunit ribosomal RNA
Source: RNAcentral
GAUGAACGCUGGCGGCGUGCCUAAUACAUGCAAGUCGAGCGAACAGACGAGGAGCUUGCUCCUCUGACGUUAGCGGCGGACAGGUGAGUAACACGUGGAUAACCUACCUAUAAGACUGGGAUAAAUUCGGGAAACCGGAGCUAAUACCGGAUAAUAUAUUGAACCGCAUGGUUCAAUAGUGAAAGACGGUUUUGCUGUCACUUAUAGAUGGAUCCGCGCCGCAUUAGCUAGUUGGUAAGGUAACGGCUUACCAAGGCAACGAUGCGUAGCCGACCUGAGAGGGUGAUCGGCCACACUGGAACUGAGACACGGUCCAGACUCCUACGGGAGGCAGCAGUAGGGAAUCUUCCGCAAUGGGCGAAAGCCUGACGGAGCAACGCUGCGUGAGUGAUGAAGGUCUUCGGAUCGUAAAACUCUGUUAUUAGGGAAGAACAAAUGUGUAAGUAACUAUGCACGUCUUGACGGUACCUAAUCAGAAAGCCACGGCUAACUACGUG